GACCAAGGAGUGUAGCAAGUGCGGGAGUAGCCAGGAAUUGAUUAGGCCCGGAGGCGCAAUGAAAGUGAAGGGACUUGUUGAAACUGGUCCCGUUACCCGCGAUCCCUCCCGGAGACGGGGGGGCGCAACGGGGGGCCGCCACACGGGCACUUGUGGCCUGGCGGAGCUCGAGCGAACACGUUGGGACCCGAAAGAUGGUGAACUAUGCACGGACGGGUUGAGGACAGAGGAAACUCUGUUGAAGGACCGCCGCGGUUCUGACGUGCAAAUCGAUCGACAGAUCUGUGUAUAGGGGUGAAAGGGCAAUCGAACCAUCUAGUAGUUGGUUCCCUCCGAAGUUUCCCUCAGGAUAGGUGGCACUCAUUAUGAAAUUAGUCACAUCCCGUAAAGCGAAUGAUUAGAGGCCUUGGGGGCGAAACGUCCUCAACCUAUUCUCAAACUUAAAAAGGGUGCGACGCCCGCCCUACCUGAAAACUAGGACGUAAGGUUGGUUUGAGAGUGCCCAGUGGUCCACUUUU
RNAcentral lists this ribosomal RNA (518 nucleotides) under Pandava sarasvati. Its description in RNAcentral is "eukaryotic LSU rRNA". It matches the Rfam family "Eukaryotic large subunit ribosomal RNA", at positions 664 to 1138 of the family's 3401-position model. Lineage: Eukaryota; Metazoa; Arthropoda; Arachnida; Araneae; Titanoecidae. The record is from RNAcentral.